CAAGAUAAUCAAUUAAAGGUUGCCUUUAGUCGUCAAUGUCAAUGAACAAUACUGAGAUGACGUUGACUCCUUCUUGUGAUGCCCCAAGUGCUAACGGAACGACCCAACGGUGGCAAAUUGGAAGAUUCACCGCUUCAUCUUUUGUCAACGCCAAGAUAGCAUCAAGGUUCGCUAUGGCAUCUGCCAUUUGGUUAUCUUUU
RNAcentral lists this long non-coding RNA (200 nucleotides) under Prunus persica (peach). Its description in RNAcentral is "long non-coding RNA (PPER_LNC000932)". Lineage: Eukaryota; Viridiplantae; Streptophyta; Magnoliopsida; Rosales; Rosaceae. The record is from RNAcentral.